Molecule: ribosomal RNA, 1453 nt
Filed under: metagenome
Description: bacterial LSU rRNA
Rfam family: Bacterial large subunit ribosomal RNA
Source: RNAcentral
AAAUAUUCCUGCACCGUCGUAUGAUGCGAUGGGGGGACGGAUCGCGGAAGGUUGUCUGACUGUUGGAAUAGUCGGUUUCUGGUUCAUAGGAGGCACUUAGGCAAAUCCGGGUGCGUAAUCCAAGGGACUGGGACGAGUGAACUUGUUCACGAAGCAAUCGGAAGUGGUUCCAAGAAAAGCCUCUAAGCUUCAGUCAUACGAGACCGUACCGCAAACCGACACAGGUGGGCGAGAUGAGUAUUCUAAGGCGCUUGAGAGAACUCGGGAGAAGGAACUCGGCAAAUUGGUACCGUAACUUCGGGAAAAGGUACGCCUCGGUAGUUUGACCACUUUACUGUGGAAGGACGAAAAGGUUGCAAUAAACUGGUGGCUGCGACUGUUUAAUAAAAACACAGCACUCUGCAAACACGAAAGUGGACGUAUAGGGUGUGACGCCUGCCCGGUGCUGGAAGAUUAAAUGAUGGGGUGCAAGCUCUUGACUGAAGUCCCAGUAAACGGCGGCCGUAACGAUAACGGUCCUAAGGUAGCGAAAUUCCUUGUCGGGUAAGUUCCGACCUGCACGAAUGGCGUAACGAUGGCCACACUGUCUCCUCCCGAGACUCAGCGAAGUUGAAAUGUUUGUGAUGAUGCAAUCUACCCGCGGCUAGACGGAAAGACCCCAUGAACCUUUACUGUAGCUUUGCAUUGGACUUUGAACCAAUCUGUGUAGGAUAGGUGGGAGGCUUUGAAGUAGGGACGCCAGUCUCUAUGGAGCCAUCCUUGAAAUACCACCCUGGUUUGUUUGAGGUUCUAACCUUGGUCCGUUAUCCGGAUCGGGGACAGUGCAUGGUAGGCAGUUUGACUGGGGCGGUCUCCUCCUAAAGUGUAACGGAGGAGUUCGAAGGUACGCUAGGUACGGUCGGACAUCGUGCUAAUAGUGCAAUGGCAUAAGCGUGCUUAACUGCGAGACUGACAAGUCGAGCAGGUACGAAAGUAGGACAUAGUGAUCCGGUGGUUCUGUAUGGAAGGGCCAUCGCUCAACGGAUAAAAGGUACUCUGGGGAUAACAGGCUGAUUCCUCCCAAGAGUUCAUAUCGACGGGGGAGUUUGGCACCUCGAUGUCGGCUCAUCACAUCCUGGGGCUGUAGCCGGUCCCAAGGGUAUGGCUGUUCGCCAUUUAAAGUGGUACGUGAGCUGGGUUUAAAACGUCGUGAGACAGUUUGGUCCCUAUCUGCCGUGGGCGUUGGAAAUUUGAAGGGGGCUGCCCCUAGUACGAGAGGACCGGAGUGGACGAACCUCUGGUGUACCGGUUGUCACGCCAGUGGCAUUGCCGGGUAGCUAAGUUCGGAAGAGAUAACCGCUGAAAGCAUCUAAGCGGGAAACUUGCCUUAAGAUGAGAUUUCCCGGAGCCUUGAGCUCCUUGAAGGGUCGUUCGAGACCAGGACGUUGAUAGGUCAGGUGUGGAAGUCAAAAAA